Long non-coding RNA from Mugil cephalus (flathead mullet), 2905 nucleotides. RefSeq lists it as uncharacterized. The record is from RefSeq and is a predicted model, not a curated record. The transcript has 2 exons. Lineage: Eukaryota; Metazoa; Chordata; Actinopteri; Mugiliformes; Mugilidae.
CUAGCGGUUGGCGUCCUUAUUGGUGCAUUACUGCCCUCUUCUGGAGUUAAUUAGCUCAUCAUGGCGUUCAACUUCUUUCCAGAUUCUUCCAUUUCACCAAUGAUCUGCACCAUCAUGUGAAUGUUUGGGAGCAACUGAAGAACAGGGAUAACCAAUCAUAUGGGCUCAAUUUACAAUUACACUUAUAAAACCUUAAACUCUUAGAUAGGUGCAAAGCAGUGCACCCAUGGGAGUUAAAAGCCUUCGAUUUAGUUUUUUAAGUAUCCUUUAAGCUACUAUAUGGAAUAUCCCAGGUGCUUGCAGCCUCAGCAUCAGAAUGAUCUUCAUCCCUGUCUGCAUCCUCCUCUCUGACAUUGUGUUCAAAGAGUCCAGCUCCAUCCCUACAGUGUCACUGGCCUUGUGGAUCAGUCCAUCAGUGUUGAGUUUAAUAGCAUCGGCCAUUCUCAGCAUGCUGCCCUAGCAUGCAGCGGCAUACAAGAGCGCCUGCCCGGCAGGUGUUAAAGGACUUCAGUCUCCUCAGAAAGUAAAGAUGACUUUGGAACCUUCCUGGAGAGGCCCUCGGUUCUUCGGCCAGUCCAGUUCAUUGUCUAUGUGCACUCCCAGACACCUAUAAUCUUCAACCAUGUCCACAUGGGUCUUCUGGAUGGUAAUAGGGGUCGCUGGAGCUUUUUUCCUCCUCAUGUCUACAACCAGCUCCGUUGUCUUUGUCACAUCCAGCUGCAGGAAGUUGUCCUGGCACCACCACAGUUCUGUACUCAGCCUCCUCACCAUCACUGAUACGUCCCACUGCUGCAGAGUCAUCACAAACCUUCUGAAAAUGGCAGGACUCGGGACGUCUGGUAGUUGAGGUCCAUGGUUUAGAGAUGGUGAAGAGAAAGGGGGAGAGGGCUGUCACCUGGAACCCUAGUGAUACUGACCAUCCUGUCUGACACACAGCAUUGCAGCCACACAUACUGUGGUCUUCCAGGUCUUCCAGCAUGGUAGUGAAACACAUGCUUGCCUCUCUUAUGCAGUGGUGUGGAAUAAAUUUACAACUACAAUAGUUAAAUGAUGCUUGCGUCUGUUAUCAUAAUCCAAUAGUAUAACAUACACAAUCAAAAAACUCACUGAGUGAAUUUUGGUGUGGAAUUAAUACUGUUGCGGGUCGUGGGGAGAGAGUUAAGAGUCCCUGACAUCAGUGGCAGAGGCAAGGACCUUGAACAAACUUCGGUUCAUCAUGAACAAUGUCCACCACCCUCUACACAACACCAUAAUCAGGCACCGAAGCUUGUUCAAUGACAGGCUGCUGUCUCUGUCCUGCUCCACAGACAGGUUGAGGAGGUUGUUCUAACUCUAAGCCACCUCACACUGUGUGAGGAACCAACUGGACUGUGGUCAUUGUUGUCAAUACUGUUUAUUUUUUAAAGAACAUCAUAUAAUGUAAUUAUUAUAUAACGUAUCUCUUUAUAUCUGUUUCUAUGUGAUGAAACCACUGGACACCGAAUUUCCCACAGGAUAAAUCUGUCUAAAGAAUAAUUAAAAAAAUGUUUAAUUAUAUGAUUGACGAAAUAAAGGGCUCAUUAAAAGGGUGAUGAUACAAAAUAACAAAAGAACCACAAGAACUACUGGGUGCCACAUUAUUUGCUAAACGACAGCUUGACACAAAUUGACACACUGAUCUUCCAAACAACACCAGAUCGGUCAGGCACGUGUUUCGUUUGGCAAUAAUCUUUGAGGAUGUUACCAUAAAAAUGAAUGAAAAUGGUCUAUUGUUUUCACUAAGCAAUACUGACAAAAAGUCAUAUACAUUGAAAUUAACCCUAUCAUCUGUUCAGACAAAGACGAGUACACAAAUACAGUACUUAACGUUCUUUUUUAUUUCAAUGGCCGACACAUAAAACCAAUGUUUCCAUGGAUGUUUCCAUCACCUGCCACCCCAAAUGUAACAGUUUGCUACCACAAAUGCUCAUAUGGUACAGCUGUUCCCAGGUGUACAAAGAGAUGAUAACAUUUUAAGUCUGUUUUGAGUAAAUACUUCCCACGUUACUGAGAUAAGCCUCCGGGUCUCCCUCACAAAUGAUGGAAGUUUUGUUAUACUUAGCUGAAAAGUUAAGAUGUUAGCUUUCUGCUACCUGUGCAUGUUAAAAUAAAUAAGGGGAGACUGCAGAUAUUCUUUCCAGCUCAAUAAUGUGUUCAAGCAGUAAAAGACAAAACAAACGUUUGUAAUGUUGAAUCCUCUACAUGAGUUUUAAAUGUGCCAUUGCAGAUGUGUUAAAAUUUCGCAAUAAACCUGUGACACAUAAAGCUACUGCACACUGGAAGCUAAACCAAUAGAAAUUAACCCUUUAAGUUUUAGAAAAUUAAAGUUUAUCGUGACGCAAUACUUCCAACUCUUACUCUCAAUUUUAGUCAAUAAUAGUCAAUAAUCUCUCCGAGUCAGUGUAAGUGAGCUGAUCAUGAAACUCAAGCAGGAACCUGAGUAUCUGUAAAAAGAAUAUAAGCACCCCCACUCUGCUUGGAGACAGCUUGACACAAAUGACACGCUGAUCUUCCAAACAACACCAGACCAUUCAGGCACAUGUUUCGUUUGGCAAGAUAGACCUAAAUGUUUCAAAUCAUUCCCUUUCUUACAGUAUAUCCACAGAAAACUGCCUUUUUCCCUGCUGCCUUCUGUGGUGUCUUUGUAAUGGGGUUAAAUUAGAAAAAGACAAAAACUGGUUAACAUAAAAUGAAGUCUUUAUCAUGUACACUUCUUGUACAAAGAGUGCAAAGGCAUUUUAUAGGUCAGACAGAGCGUUUCUGAGAUGAAUGGGGGCAGAUGGGCUUCACUUUAUCGCACCUCAAAAACAACCAGAGAUAAACAUCAAACAAGCAAAUAUCAAAUUGACUAUAUGGGCCAAAUUUACAAAAAACAUUGAGGUUAUAA